UUAUUUCGGUAAGUUCUUAGUGGCGAACGGGUGAGUAACGCGUGGGCAACCUGCCCUCCAGUUGGGGACAACAUUCCGAAAGGGAUGCUAAUACCGAAUGUGCUCCCUCCUCCGCAUGGAGGAGGGAGGAAAGAUGGCCUCUGCUUGCAAGCUAUCGCUGGAAGAUGGGCCCGCGUCUGAUUAGCUAGUUGGUGGGGUAACGGCUCACCAAGGCGAUGAUCAGUAGCCGGUCUGAGAGGAUGAACGGCCACAUUGGGACUGAGACACGGCCCAAACUCCUACGGGAGGCAGCAGUGGGGAAUCUUCCGCAAUGGACGAAAGUCUGACGGAGCAACGCCGCGUGAGUGAUGAAGGUCUUCGGAUUGUAAAACUCUGUUGUUAGGGACGAAAGCACCGUGUUCGAACAGGUCAUGGUGUUGACGGUACCUAACGAGGAAGCCACGGCUAACUACGUGCCAGCAGCCGCGGUAAUACGUAGGUGGCAAGCGUUGUCCGGAAUUAUUGGGCGUAAAGAGCAUGUAGGCGGGCUUUUAAGUCUGACGUGAAAAUGCGGGGCUUAACCCCGUAUGGCGUUGGAUACUGGAAGUCUUGAGUGCAGGAGAGGAAAGGGGAAUUCCCAGUGUAGCGGUGAAAUGCGUAGAUAUUGGGAGGAACACCAGUGGCGAAGGCGCCUUUCUGGACUGUGUCUGACGCUGAGAUGCGAAAGCCAGGGUAGCAAACGGGAUUAGAUACCCCGGUAGUCCUGGCCGUAAACGAU
This 757-nucleotide ribosomal RNA is filed under the name human gut metagenome. RNAcentral's name for it is "bacterial SSU rRNA". It matches the Rfam family "Bacterial small subunit ribosomal RNA", at positions 75 to 810 of the family's 1533-position model. The record is from RNAcentral.